GGGAGCCUAUAAUUUAAUUUGAUGUUUUUGUGAUAAUAGUAUUUAAUUAGUAACCCGGUCAUAAUAGUACUUAAUUAGUAACCCAAUUACAAGAAAACAUACUCCCUUCACCACUGGCGACUUCCCCUCUCUCAUCCCUUCUCCAAAAUCAGAGUUCCUCCCCAAAAAUUGAGGAUCGGCGAACCCUAGCUCCUCCAUCGCCAUUCUCCAGCUCCGCCGUCGUUACUGGUCAGCCGGCAUACGACGCCAUCUGCGCCAUCACCCUCUCUCUCUUUCUUCCAUCACCCUCUCUCUCUUUCUUCUUACGGCGAAAUUGACACUCCCAACGGGCUGCCGGAGCCUCAUCGGCGCCAUCUGUCUCCUCCCAUCUCUCGCCUUCUCCGGCGGAUUCUCGCCCGGGGUGGCUUUCUUCUUCCUCAUCUCGGGUUUUCCUCUACUCUCUUACCAAAUUGGAACCUGGGAAGCCCCAAUUGAAAGAGGACAUCGGUGACUUGUUGUUAUCGGUCAUCUCCGUCGAGUCCCUUCACCCGACGAAGUCGCCGACAGGAGACAGCCGGUCUGCUCCCUCAAUGGUACACGGACAACCUCACGGCCUAAGCUAAGUUUUCCUUCUCCUAUUACUUAGCCCAAUUGGUUUGAAUUUCCGGCAGCAAUGUGUGAUUUAAAAGCAUUGACUAUGGUUGUGAUCAAGGUUUGAUCUUGUGAAAUUCUGCUUACUGGAAAGUUUAAGUUGCUUGUUUCUGAUUUUGAACUAAGAGUAGCUUAUGAUUUUUGGAUUCCUAACAUGAUGUGCCUACUUUCCUCAAGAGUUCAUGCUUUUAUGUUUCUAUCAUGUGGAGGAGGGAGUGUUACCUUUUGAAAGUAGCUACUGUCUUUUAUUUUCUGCUCCUAAUUCUUCAAGGUUCACUCUCCCACUCUGAAAUUUCUUGUUGCAAUGUAAGGGAAAGGGGUGAGCUUGUGUUUUAGCAUGAAAUACUUGUGGGAAGGGAGGAAUAGCGUUACCUAUGGAGAGUAGGAACUGCCCUUUGUGCAAGAACUCUCUGCAGAAAUUUACUCACUCACCCUAACUCACUACUCUCUUGAAACUUGCUAUGUUGCUGAGAUUUUGAAGUAUGUGGGAGGAGAAUUUGGUGAGUUUGAAGAGGUUUUUAUACAGGAAGCGUGUGUACUCGCGAGGCUUUAAUUGGGGCUGUUACAUUCUUGUUUUCUCUCAGCAGUGAAUCCUCUCUUUUAGGAUUUUGCAGCAUCUUUAACUGCAGCUUUGAUGGUGUACUAGGGAUAAAGACUGUUGCAUUUAUUUUGUUGGUUUCUCUCUUCUUCUCCGGUGCACUUGGCAGAGCCGAGGUUGGGAGGGAUUACAAAGGUUGCAAGGGUUUGUUAGGGGCAGGGAUGCAGAGCCGCUGCCCCCCCUUUUCUGGUUCGGCAGCUUUCGGUUAUGAGGAUGAGGGGGUUAUAGGAGCUGGCUGGGCUCUAGCCUUGGAGAAACUGUAAUUCUCGGCUGCUGUGUUGUUGCUGUCUUCGCGGGGCUGGGCUCACUGCUCUGGGCCGACGAGCCGUCGAAAAUUCGGGCCGAAAUCCGGGCCUACGGAAGAGGCCCGAAGUUGGCGUUCCUAGCGUUGUAAUAGGAUAGGGUCUUCUUUUUGUUUUGUUCUUCUUUCCUUUCUCAAACAUGUGUAGUCGAGCGUUUUAGCUCGGGAAUAACAUUUAAGUCGUGUUCACCUCGACAUUCUUGUGUAUUAUUUUCCUCUAUUAUUAUUUUACUUUUUUUGUAAACUAAGGCAUAGGUCGGAAUUUAAUACGUUUUUCGAUC
Molecule: long non-coding RNA, 1810 nt
Organism: Salvia splendens (bonfire salvia)
Lineage: Eukaryota; Viridiplantae; Streptophyta; Magnoliopsida; Lamiales; Lamiaceae
Exons: 2
Source: RefSeq, a predicted model, not a curated record